Molecule: transfer RNA, 71 nt
Filed under: Topsentia ophiraphidites
Lineage: Eukaryota; Metazoa; Porifera; Demospongiae; Suberitida; Halichondriidae
Description: tRNA-Cys
Rfam family: tRNA
About the family: Transfer RNA (tRNA) molecules are approximately 80 nucleotides in length.
Source: RNAcentral
GGCGUUAUAACAUAACGGGAUUGUAGUAGUUUGCAAAAUUAUUUGUAUAGGUUCGAUUCCUAUUAACGCCU